This 484-nucleotide ribosomal RNA is filed under the name uncultured bacterium. Its description in RNAcentral is "partial 16S ribosomal RNA". It matches the Rfam family "Bacterial small subunit ribosomal RNA", at positions 30 to 507 of the family's 1533-position model. The record is from RNAcentral.
AUUGAACGCUGGCGGCAGGCCUAACACAUGCAAGUCGAGCGGAUGAAGGGAGCUUGCUCCUGGAUUCAGCGGCGGACGGGUGAGUAAUGCCUAGGAAUCUGCCUGGCAGUGGGGGAUAACGUCCGGAAACGGGCGCUAAUACCGCAUACGACCUGAUGGUGAAAGUGGGGGAUCUUCGGACCUCACGCUAUCAGAUGAGCCUAGGUCGGAUUAGCUAGUUGGUUGGGUAAAGGCCUACCAAGGCGACGAUCCGUAACUGGACUGAGAGGAUGAUCAGUCACACUGGAACUGAGACACGGUCCAGACUCCUACGGGAGGCAGCAGUGGGGAAUAUUGGGCAAUGGGCGAAAGCCUGACCCAGCCAUGCCGCGUGUGUGAAGAAGGUCUUCGGAUUGUAAAGCAGUUUAAGUUGGGAGGAAGGGCAGUAAGUUAAUACCUUGCUGUUUUGACGGUACCAACAGAAUAAGCACCGGCUAACUUCGUG